Phoenix dactylifera (date palm) is the source of this 1293-nucleotide long non-coding RNA. RefSeq lists it as uncharacterized. NCBI's taxonomy places the organism in Eukaryota, Viridiplantae, Streptophyta, Magnoliopsida, Arecales, Arecaceae. The record is from RefSeq and is a predicted model, not a curated record.
GACCCGUAACCCGAGUCCGCCUCCGUCCGCGGCCGCGUCAUUAUAUCCUCUUUCCUCUCGCCUCCACCCCAGAUCUCGCUCGCCCGGCGAGCGAUCCAACUCUAUUCCAGGGACAACCACAGAGAUCACCUUCUCCACUCAAGAUGGGGCUUCUUAUUAGAAGAGGAGGAAGGAUUUUGCUUAUUGCAGCAAGAGUGGUGUUCCACAAAUGCCAAGAAUUUCAAGCUUAGAUAUGGAUAUUAUCAAAAAGAGUACGCAUUGCUCAGAAAUGUACCCUUCAUGCAGACAGAUUUGUUUCCAAGAUGGCUUGGUGUAGGGACUGUGCCUCUAUAUGGCACCAUUCUGUAUAGAUGAAAAUUAGCACAUGGAUGUUGCUGAUUUUUUUACGAAGGGGUACUCCUUUUCCCCCACGCUUGAAUAUGAAAAAAAGAACAAAGUGAAGAUUACCUUGUGUACUUAGCCUUGCGACAAAUUAGGCCUUGUAUUAUGCCAGUAAAGUGCCCUGUGCAUAGUAUUUUAACAAUCUUUAGAACUUUAGGGCAGGAAGACUCGUGGUUUGGGAGCUGGGCGUAAGCUGAGGACCCACAGAAGGACCCAGAAGUGGGCUGACAAAGCAUAUAAGAAAGGUCACCUUGGCAAUGAAUGGAAGAACCCUUUGGCUGGCUCUUCUCAUGCAAAAGGGAUUGUUUUUGAGCAAAUGUGACCAAAAGUCACAUGCCCUUCACAUUCCUCCUUCCUAAAGGAAUCAUGGUUUAAAACAUAACAAAACGGCUUUAUCUGCAGUGGCAUCGAGGCAAAGCAGCCAAAUUCUGUCAUCCAAAAGUGCGCCUGAGUUCGGCCGAUCAAAAAUGGGAAGAAGAUUGCUGCAUCUGUUCCCAAUGAUGGUUGCUUAAAUUUCAUCGAGGAAAUUGGAAGUUUGCUUCUAUCUUCCCCCAGAAGUGGAUGAAGUGCCGAUUGCAGGAUUUGGACGUAAAGGGCAUGCAGUUGGUGAUAUUCCUGGAGUCAGGUUUAAGGUCAAGGUCUCAGGUGUGACUCUAUUGGCUCUCUUCAAGGAGGAGGAGAAACCGAGAUCUUAGGCCACAUGAUCUUGAUUACCGGCCAGGCAUCGAGGGAUGCUGGAUGAUUUUGGAGGGUUGUUAAGUCUGUAUUCUUCGUAGUUAAGACAACAAUGCCAUUUCAUUUUUGAUGGUUGCAUCAUUAAGGAGAAUUUUGAGCCUUUCGUGUUUUUUUUAAUCAAAAUCAGAGAUUUUGAAUCCCUAUCAUGAUAUUUUGCUGAAGUCUCUUUUUAUGCUA